This 298-nucleotide long non-coding RNA is filed under the name Vigna radiata. Its description in RNAcentral is "long non-coding RNA (VRAD_LNC010500)". The record is from RNAcentral. Lineage: Eukaryota; Viridiplantae; Streptophyta; Magnoliopsida; Fabales; Fabaceae.
AGCAACUGAAGAACCAAGAGAAGAAGAAGAAGACAAUAAGAAGAAGAAAAGAAGAGAAGAAGGAAGCCACGAUGAGUGGCAGAGCUAUUAUUUCUUGUUUUUCUCAUCCAUCAACUUCGUGCUACAUUCCUUUAUCGCGCCGGACCCAGUUCGCACAUGCACCUCCACCGUCGCCGCUCCUGCUCUCGCGGCGGAGCCACCUCCUCGUUGCCGGCGGAAGGGGAGGCGGGAAGGUGUGGGCCAAUGUGAAGUCGGAGAAGAACUUGUCGGAGUCCCCCAAGUACGAGGAUGUUGUCGU